RNAcentral lists this ribosomal RNA (253 nucleotides) under uncultured bacterium. RNAcentral describes it as "partial 16S ribosomal RNA". It matches the Rfam family "Bacterial small subunit ribosomal RNA", at positions 524 to 776 of the family's 1533-position model. The record is from RNAcentral.
UACGAAGGGGGCUAGCGUUGCUCGGAAUCACUGGGCGUAAAGGGUGCGUAGGCGGGUCUUUAAGUCAGGGGUGAAAUCCUGGAGCUCAACUCCAGAACUGCCUUUGAUACUGAGGAUCUUGAGUUCGGGAGAGGUGAGUGGAACUGCGAGUGUAGAGGUGAAAUUCGUAGAUAUUAGGAAGAACACCGGUGGCGAAGGCGGCCCACUGGUCCGGUACUGACGCUGAGGUGCGAAAGCGUGGGGAGCAAACAGG